This 597-nucleotide unclassified non-coding RNA is filed under the name Hevea brasiliensis (rubber tree). Lineage: Eukaryota; Viridiplantae; Streptophyta; Magnoliopsida; Malpighiales; Euphorbiaceae. The record is from RNAcentral.
UAGCCACUGCUUUGCCUGCAAAUUAGUGGAACUUGUUGAUGAUAACACAUAACUACACAUAACUAACCUAAAGAUUAAAAGGAACUUUAUUGCAUUGAACCAAUGCUGCUACUGUUGUGAACUCCACCACACCAACUAAAAUAAUGGUUUUUUUCUCUAACAGAAGGGCAAUUUUACGCGGACUCAAGAAGCCACCAGCACAAGGGAUCAUUGGAUACAAAUACACUGAGGACAUGACACUUUUAUCACCAUCCUUCUUAUUUAAUUAUCUAAAAUUUAAGCUCUGCCUCCUUUUAUAAUUCUUCAAGAAAUAAAUAGAUAUUUACUCCUUCACAUUGUCAUUGUGGCUUUCAAUUAUAGUGAGCAAUCUCAUAACUUCUUUUCAAGUUUUUCCUUUGAAAUUUAAAGAAUAUUCUAAGUUUAGUCUUCAAAAUUAUAGCUCCAAUUCAAUAUUGUCCUCAAGCCUUAUAAAAUGAAAAAUAGAGUCCUUCAAUAUUUGGAUUUUAUUAAUAAGUCCAAUUGUCAACUAUAAUUUUGAUCCUUGACAGUAGACACCAAUUAUUGGCUGUCUGCCAAAAUCUGAAAGUGCCACACUAG